Molecule: ribosomal RNA, 2115 nt
Filed under: Campylobacter jejuni
Lineage: Bacteria; Pseudomonadati; Campylobacterota; Epsilonproteobacteria; Campylobacterales; Campylobacteraceae
Description: partial 23S ribosomal RNA
Rfam family: Bacterial large subunit ribosomal RNA
Source: RNAcentral
GGAUAGGGGUGAAAGGCCAAUCAAACUUCGUGAUAGCUGGUUCUCUCCGAAAUAUAUUUAGGUAUAGCGUUGUGUCGUAAUAUAAGGGGGUAGAGCACUGAAUGGGCUAGGGCAUACACCAAUGUACCAAACCCUAUCAAACUCCGAAUACCUUAUAUGUAAUCACAGCAGUCAGGCGGCGAGUGAUAAAAUCCGUCGUCAAGAGGGAAACAACCCAGACUACCAGCUAAGGUCCCUAAAUCUUACUUAAGUGGAAAACGAUGUGAAGUUACUUAAACAACCAGGAGGUUGGCUUAGAAGCAGCCAUCCUUUAAAGAAAGCGUAAUAGCUCACUGGUCUAGUGAUUUUGCGCGGAAAAUAUAACGGGGCUAAAGUAAGUACCGAAGCUGUAGACUUAGUUUACUAAGUGGUAGGAGAGCGUUCUAUUUGCGUCGAAGGUAUACCGGUAAGGAGUGCUGGAGCGAAUAGAAGUGAGCAUGCAGGCAUGAGUAGCGAUAAUUAAUGUGAGAAUCAUUAACGCCGUAAACCCAAGGUUUCCUACGCGAUGCUCGUCAUCGUAGGGUUAGUCGGGUCCUAAGUCGAGUCCGAAAGGGGUAGACGAUGGCAAAUUGGUUAAUAUUCCAAUACCAACAUUAGUGUGCGAUGGAAGGACGCUUAGGGCUAAGGGGGCUAGCGGAUGGAAGUGCUAGUCUAAGGUCGUAGGAGGUUAUACAGGCAAAUCCGUAUAACAAUACUCCGAGAACUGAAAGGCUUUUUGAAGUCUUCGGAUGGAUAGAAGAACCCCUGAUGCCGUCGAGCCAAGAAAAGUUUCUAAGUUUAGCUAAUGUUGCCCGUACCGUAAACCGACACAGGUGGGUGGGAUGAGUAUUCUAAGGCGCGUGGAAGAACUCUCUUUAAGGAACUCUGCAAAAUAGCACCGUAUCUUCGGUAUAAGGUGUGGUUAGCUUUGUAUUAGGAUUUACUCCGAAAGCAAGGAAACUUACAACAAAGAGUCCCUCCCGACUGUUUACCAAAAACACAGCACUCUGCUAACUCGUAAGAGGAUGUAUAGGGUGUGACGCCUGCCCGGUGCUCGAAGGUUAAUUGAUGGGGUUAGCAUUAGCGAAGCUCUUGAUCGAAGCCCGAGUAAACGGCGGCCGUAACUAUAACGGUCCUAAGGUAGCGAAAUUCCUUGUCGGUUAAAUACCGACCUGCAUGAAUGGCGUAACGAGAUGGGAGCUGUCUCAAAGAGGGAUCCAGUGAAAUUGUAGUGGAGGUGAAAAUUCCUCCUACCCGCGGCAAGACGGAAAGACCCCGUGGACCUUUACUACAGCUUGACACUGCUACUUGGAUAAGAAUGUGCAGGAUAGGUGGGAGGCUUUGAGUAUAUGACGCCAGUUGUAUAUGAGCCAUUGUUGAGAUACCACUCUUUCUUAUUUGGGUAGCUAACCAGCUUGAGUUAUCCUCAAGUGGGACAAUGUCUGGUGGGUAGUUUGACUGGGGCGGUCGCCUCCCAAAUAAUAACGGAGGCUUACAAAGGUUGGCUCAGAACGGUUGGAAAUCGUUCGUAGAGUAUAAAGGUAUAAGCCAGCUUAACUGCAAGACAUACAAGUCAAGCAGAGACGAAAGUCGGUCUUAGUGAUCCGGUGGUUCUGUGUGGAAGGGCCAUCGCUCAAAGGAUAAAAGGUACCCCGGGGAUAACAGGCUGAUCUCCCCCAAGAGCUCACAUCGACGGGGAGGUUUGGCACCUCGAUGUCGGCUCAUCGCAUCCUGGGGCUGGAGCAGGUCCCAAGGGUAUGGCUGUUCGCCAUUUAAAGCGGUACGCGAGCUGGGUUCAGAACGUCGUGAGACAGUUCGGUCCCUAUCUGCCGUGGGCGUAAGAAGAUUGAAGAGAUUUGACCCUAGUACGAGAGGACCGGGUUGAACAAACCACUGGUGUAGCUGUUGUUCUGCCAAGAGCAUCGCAGCGUAGCUAAGUUUGGAAAGGAUAAACGCUGAAAGCAUCUAAGCGUGAAGCCAACUCUAAGAUGAAUCUUCUCUAAGCUCUCUAGAAGACUACUAGUUUGAUAGGCUGGGUGUGUAAUGGAUGAAAGUCCUUUAGCUGACCAGUACUAAUAGAGCGUUUGGCUUAUCUUU